RNAcentral lists this long non-coding RNA (529 nucleotides) under Physcomitrium patens. RNAcentral's name for it is "long non-coding RNA (PPAT_LNC010307)". The record is from RNAcentral. Lineage: Eukaryota; Viridiplantae; Streptophyta; Bryopsida; Funariales; Funariaceae.
CUAUUGUAGAAAUUACUAGGAUUUGGUUAGGAUUUGAUUUAAGAUUUUAGAUUUGGUUAGGAUUUGAUUUAGGAUUUAGGAUUUGAUUAGGAUUUGUUUUAGAGUUAGGAUUUGAUUAGGGUUUGAUUUAGAAUUAGGAUUUGGUUAGGAUUUAGUUUAGGAUUUGAUUUAAGGUUUAGGAUUUAGUUAGGAUUUGAUUUAGGAUUUGGUUAGGAUUUGAUUAGGAUUUGGUUUAGGGUUUAGGAUUUGGUUUAGGAUUUAAGGUUUGAUUAGGGAUUUAUUAGGAUUUAGUUUAGGGUUUAGAAUUUUAUUAGGAUUUAUUUAGGAUUUAAGAUUUAGUUAGUUUUUGGCCUAAAGUUUGAAUGAAAUUGAAUAGAAUUUUAACUAAGAUUAAAUUAAGAUUGAAUUGAGAUGUAUUUGAGAUAUAUUUAUGAUCAUUUUAAUAUUUUUUUAAGAUUUCUUAUUGUUUCUUUGUGAUUCCUUUGAGGUUUCUUUGAAUUUGAUUAAAGCUUGCUUAGCAUUGUUAUGG